RNAcentral lists this ribosomal RNA (916 nucleotides) under uncultured Candidatus Poseidoniales archaeon. Its description in RNAcentral is "SSU rRNA". It matches the Rfam family "Archaeal small subunit ribosomal RNA", at positions 1 to 923 of the family's 1478-position model. The record is from RNAcentral. Lineage: Archaea; Methanobacteriati; Thermoplasmatota; Candidatus Poseidoniia; Candidatus Poseidoniales.
UUCUGGUUGAUCCUGCCGGAGGCUACCGCUAUUGGAGUUCGAUUAAGCCAUGCGAGUCGAGAGUCUUAGGGACUCGGCGUACCGCUCAGUAACACGUGGGUAACCUGCCCUAUGCUGGGGAAUAACCUCGGGAAACUGAGAAUAAUACCCCAUAGUUCACCACGCCUGGAACGGUGGGUGGAUGAAAGCUCCGGCGGCAUAGGAUGGGCCUGCGACGUAUCAGGUUGUAGGGGGUGUAACGUACCCUCUAGCCAUCAACGCGUACGGGUGUUGGGAGACAUAGCCCGGAGAUGGAUUCUGAGACACGAAUCCAGACCCUACGGGGUGCAGCAGGCGCGAAAACUUGGCAAUGCGAGCAAUCGUGACCAGGGAACUCCAAGUGGCUGGGGUAAUACCCAGUUUUUUCUUGACUCUUCAAAGGUCUUGGAAUAAGGGGUGGGUAAGGACGGUGCCAGCCGCCGCGGUAAUACCGGCGCCUCAAGUGGUAGUCGCUUUUAUUGGGCCUAAAACGUCCGUAGCCGGUCUGGUGCAUUCGUGGGUAAAUCAACCCGCUCAACGGGUUGAAUUCUGCGAACACGGCCAGACUUGGGACCGGGAGAGGUGUGGGGUACUCUCAGGGUAGGGGUAAAAUCCUGUCAUCCUGAGAGGACCACCUGUUGCGAAGGCGCCACACUAGAACGGAUUCGACGGUCAGGGACGAAACCUAGGGGCACGAACCGGAUUAGAUACCCGGGUAGUCCUAGGUGUAAACGCUGUGGACUUGAUGUUGGGGGUGCUCCGAGCACUCUCAGUGUCGAAGCGAAGGUGAUAAGUCCACUGUCUGGGGAGUACGGUCGCAAGGCUGAAACUUAAAGGAAUUGGCGGGGGAGCACUGCAACCUGAGGAUUGUGCGGUUUAAUUGGACUCAACGCCGGGA